CUAUUUUCUUCUCUUCUUCGUUUCCUCCGUUAAGAAUUCUUUCCUAGGAACAAUCAAUUCUCUCCCCACUCUUCUUCACUCUUUAAUCCCAUUAAUGGUUUCUUUUUGUUUUCUCCCUCUGAGAUUCUAUAUAAGAUCUCAUUCUCUGUGUUUUGGUUUUCAUCAGAAGUUCUAAAAUCCUCUCCACUGCGCUUUCCGAUGAAGUUCUCCGGUGUUCCCGACUCAGUAAAACAGAACGGGGAAGCGGCGGUCCCCUCAACUCCGGUUAAAUCCGUGGUCCAAACCGGUGUCUCUUCCGGCGACGUCAGCUCCAAAAGAAGUAGCGGCGGUCUCCUCCGGUCCCGUCAAACCAGUCGUCCAGACCGGUGUCUCUUCCGGCGAUGUCACCUCAAUGAAGUCAAAAGGCGUAGCGGCGGUCUCCACUUUCAUCGUUAUGGUCCUGCUGGGUAUGUACUUUUCAUUGAUGUGUACGCUGGCCUUGAGGCAAGGUGGAAGCUUAAUGUUGGCUAAUGGCUACAACUCUUGCUUGGGACAGUGAACUGUCUUGGACGCUAGAGAAUGCUAUUGAAGCACUUCAGGAGACUAUGCAUCAGGUAAACAUAGAACAUAUUCUGCUUUAGGUUAUUGUAUGGUCUUCACACUAACGAGAACUUUGUUGUGUUGUUACUUCUGUUGUGAUGAGGUUAUGAAGGGAGUCUCUAGGAGUAUCUGUUCUUAGCAAGAAUCAUGUUCCCACUAAAGGAGCGCAUUACCUUGCUGUAGAGAAGUCUUUGGAGCGACUGAUUAAGCGAAAAUUUCAUCUCUUAGCAAAGUGAAGGGCAUCAUGCUUAUCAAUUCUAUCUGAAACCACCUGGUGCACAAGCUUUUAUCGGGAACACGGUAUGAUUUCGAAGGCUUUAAUUUCCUAUGAGAGCCUGAGGUUGUGAUUGCACCAGGUUUACAGCUUUAGAUGAUUGCUGUUCUGUUCUUUAACCAUGGGAGAUUGCGUCAUCGGAGCUUCAUCAAUAUUUUUGGAAGCAUUGCAAUUAAUUUGAGAACAAACCUUCACAAAUUUGGGUCAUAAAAAGGAUAAUGAUCGAGGAGAGAUGCCGUUGAAGCUUCUUAUACAGUUUCAGACAUGGAGAGCUAAUAGCAACUGUUGAUGAAAUGAAAAUACUAAGAAAAAAAUAAAAAUAUAAAGGUGCCAGCACGUCACUCCAAUGUUUGAAUAAUUGUCUUUAGAUCAGGCUCUGUAUUCUUAAAUGAUUAUCUGUCAAGUGUUUUUCUUUAUUUCGGCAGGAUGAAAAAAGCGUAUAACUGUUUUUGCAACAUGCUCUUCAUAUCAAAGUUAGACAGGAGCUAAGUGAUGGUAUGUAGGGCUACUUGACUCCAUGUUCAGGGGAGACUCGCCUGCCUAUAUUCAAGCCCCCAAUGGAGGGUCUGGAGGACAACUUGACCAACUAAGUCAUCUGAGAUCACUGACCUAGAUCAGAGUUUUCUUCUAAUGGAAAUAAUUUACUAAACUCAUCGAUUGUUACUUUGAAGAUAGAAGAAAAACAACAUCUUUUUUUUUUUGGCAAACAGAAAAACAACAUCUAAUAGUCUAUUUCCCAUGUUUAUAUUUUAUUUUUGCAGACACUAUAUGUACACGACAAAUUCUUUAGAUCCAAUCUAUU
This is a long non-coding RNA of Raphanus sativus (radish), 1655 nucleotides long. RefSeq lists it as uncharacterized. The transcript is spliced from 7 exons. NCBI's taxonomy places the organism in Eukaryota, Viridiplantae, Streptophyta, Magnoliopsida, Brassicales, Brassicaceae. The record is from RefSeq and is a predicted model, not a curated record.